Molecule: ribosomal RNA, 1397 nt
Filed under: uncultured Bordetella sp.
Lineage: Bacteria; Pseudomonadati; Pseudomonadota; Betaproteobacteria; Burkholderiales; Alcaligenaceae
Description: partial 16S-23S ribosomal RNA intergenic spacer
Rfam family: Bacterial small subunit ribosomal RNA
Source: RNAcentral
UAGAAUGUGGGUAGUAACAGAGGUUUGAUAUGGCUCAGAUUGAACAACUGGCGGGAUGCUUUACAUGCAAGUCGAACAGCGGCACGGACUUCAGUCUGGUGGCGAGUGGCGGGUGAGUAAUGUAUGGAACGUGCCUAAAUGGCAGGAUAACUACGCGAAAGCGUAGCUAAUACCACAUACCUGCCGCUGGAAAGCAAGCCUUCGGGCCUCACUAUUAGAGCGGCGAUAUCAGUUAGCCCUAGUUGGUGGGGUAACGGCUCUGCUUCGUAGCUGGUUUGAGGACGACCAGCCACACUGGGACUGAGACGGCGAACUCACAGGAGGCAGCAGUGGGGUACAAUGGGGAAACCCUGAUCCAGCCAUCCCGCGUGUGCGAUGAGCCUUCAGGUUGUAAAGCACUUUGGCAGGAAAACGGCACGGGAUAAUACCCCGUGCAACUGACGUACCUGCAGAAUAAGCACCGGCCUAACUACGUGCCAGCAGCCGCGGUAAUACGUAGGUGCAAGCGUUAAUCGGAGUUACUGGGUAAAGCGUGCGCAGGCGGUUCAGGAAGAAGAUGUAACUUUGGAACUGCAUUUUAACUACCGAGCUAGAGUGUGUCAGAGGAGGUGGAAUUCCGCGUGAAGUGAAAUGCGUAAUGCGGAGGGGAACACCGUGUGAAGGCAGCUCCUGGGAUAACACUGACGCUCAUGCACGAAAGCGUGGGAGCAAACAGGAUUAGGCCUGGUAGUCCACGCCCUAAACGAUGUCAACUAGCUGUUGGGCCUUCGGGCCUUGGUAAGCGCAACUAACGCGUGAGACCGCCUGGGUACGGUCGCAAGAUUAAAACUCAAAGGUGACAGGGACACUGCUAACAGGACGGUGGAUGAUGUGGAUUAAUUCGAUGCAACGCAAAACACCUACCCUUGACAUGUCUGGAAUCCCGAAGGGAUUUGGGAGUGCUCAUGAGAACCGGAACACAGGUGCUGCAUGGCUGUCGUCAGCUCGUGUCGUGAGAUGUUGGGUUAAGUCUGUGAAGCUGUCCCUUGUCAUUAGUUGCUACGAAAGGGCACUCUAAUGAGACUGCCGGUGACAAACCGGAGAAGGUGAAGACGUCAAGUCCUCAUGGCCCUUGGGUAAGGGCUUCACACGUCAUACAAUGGUCGGGACAGAGGGUCGCCAACCCGCGAGGGGGGAGCCAAUCAGAAGCGAUCGUAGUCGGAUCGCAGUCUGCAACUCGACUGCGUGAAGUCAGAAUCGCUAGUAAUCGCGGAUCAGCAUGUCGCGGUGGUGUUCCGGGUCUUGUAUACCCACCGCCAAUCACCAUGGGAGUGGGUUUUACCAGAAGUAGUUAGCCUAACCAUAAGGAGAGGCGAUUACCACGGUGAUUCAUGACUGGGGUGAAGUCGUAACAAGGU